UACUUUUGCACUCGCUUUUGAGAAAUCAAGGAAAAAGAAAGCUGUUAAAAAAAGAUACGCAAAAGGCGGCAGUGUUCGGAGCGGUUCUGAUCUGUGCCGCAGCGUUUACGGCAGCGCUGACAGGAUGUGUUUCAACACAGGCAGAGACGGAAAAGAUACGAGAUAUGAAGUACGAGGUGAUUGAGGAAGAAGAUAUUCCCCAAAGUCUUCGGGAGAUGAUCAAAGGAGGAGAGAAGAAACCGUUUCGGAUUACAUAUUCGGAUCAGGGCUUCCUCUAUAUCGCACAGGGAUACGAGGUUCAGCCGACAACCGGUUAUAGUGUGGAAGUGAAGGAACUUUAUGAGACGGAAACGGCCGUCUGUAUAAAAACGACUCUGAUCGGUCCGAAAAAAGGGGAGGAAAAAGAAAAAGCAGAAACAUACCCCUAUAUAGUCGUGCAGACGGAAGAUGUAAAAAAAGAUGUUUUGUUUAAGUGAGGAGGAGAAAGAUGGAUCUGACGAAAAAAACAGUUCAUUAUACACAGGAGGGAAAAACCGUUUUUGACCGGUUUUAUCUGGAUGAAGAUUACAAUUUGCCCGAGCAGAAAGAAGCUGUUCAAAGAAUCGUGUACAGCAGUGCCAAGCUUAAGACAGAGGAUGUUCGUCCUGUGGAAAACUAUGUGAAAGUAACAGGAAAAGCGUAUUACAAAAUCCUUUAUAUGACGCAGGGGGAGACAACGCUUUCGGUGUUGGAAGGAAAGAUUCCGUUUGAAGAGAUGAUCUAUGCGGAAAAUAGAUGAGGAGAGAAUCCUAAGGCCAACGGGAGAAGGGUUGUUAAGGAACUCGGCAAAAUGACCCCGUAACUUCGGGAUAAGGGGAGCCUCCUACGGGAGGCCGCAGCGAAUAGGCCCAAGCGACUGUUUACCAAAAACACAGGUCUCUGCUAAAUCGAAAGAUGACGUAUAGGGGCUGACGCCUGCCCGGUGCUGGAAGGUUAAGAGGAGAUGUUAGCCGCAAGGCGAAGCAUUGAAUCGAAGCCCCAGUAAACGGCGGCCGUAACUAUAACGGUCCUAAGGUAGCGAAAUUCCUUGUCAGGUAAGUUCUGACCCGCACGAAUGGCGUAACGACUUGGGCGCUGUCUCAACAGCCCACCCGGCGAAAUUGUUGUACUGGUGAAGAAGCCAGUUACCCGCAACUAGACGGAAAGACCCCAUGGAGCUUUACUGUAGCUUAAUACUGGAAAUCGGUAAAUCAUGUACAGGAUAGGUGGGAGACUUGGAAGCCAGGGCGUCAGCUUUGGUGGAGUCACCCUUGGGAUACCACCCUUGAUUUGCUGGUUUUCUAACCUGCGGCCGUGAAUCCGGUCGGGGGACACUGUUAGGUGGGCAGUUUGACUGGGGCGGUCGCCUCCUAAAAGGUAACGGAGGCGCUCAAAGGUUCGUUCAGCACGGACGGAAACCGUGCAGUGAGUGUAAACGCAUAAACGAGCCUAACUGCGAGACCGACGGGUCGAGCAGUAACGAAAGUUGGAGUUAGUGAUCCGGCGGUAUGCAAGUGGAAGUGCCGUCGCUCAACGGAUAAAAGCUACCCUGGGGAUAACAGGCUGAUCUCCCCCAAGCGUCCACAGCGACGGGGAGGUUUGGCACCUCGAUGUCGGCUCGUCACAUCCUGGGGCUGUAUUCGGUCCCAAGGGUUCGGCUGUUCGCCGAUUAAAGUGGCACGCGAGCUGGGUUCAGAACGUCGUGAGACAGUUCGGUCCCUAUCUGUUGCGGGCGUAAGAGAUUUGAAGGGAGCUGUCCUUAGUACGAGAGGACCGGGAUGGACGUACCUCUGGUGCACCAGUUGUCCUGCCAAGGGCAUAGCUGGGUAGCUAUGUACGGACGAGAUAAACGCUGAAGGCAUCUAAGCGUGAAACUCCCCCUAAGAUUAGAUCUCUCAUUCGAAAGAAGUAAGGCACGACGUAGACUAUGUCGUUGA
RNAcentral lists this ribosomal RNA (1955 nucleotides) under human gut metagenome. RNAcentral describes it as "bacterial LSU rRNA". The stretch from base 616 to 1955 matches the Rfam family "Bacterial large subunit ribosomal RNA". The record is from RNAcentral.